This 351-nucleotide ribosomal RNA is filed under the name Scaphiophryne boribory. RNAcentral's name for it is "partial 12S ribosomal RNA". It matches the Rfam family "Bacterial small subunit ribosomal RNA", at positions 864 to 1384 of the family's 1533-position model. The record is from RNAcentral. Lineage: Eukaryota; Metazoa; Chordata; Amphibia; Anura; Microhylidae.
UCAAACCGCCAGGGAAUUACGAGCCCAAGCUUAAAACCCAAAGGACUUGACGGUGUCCCACCCACCUAGAGGAGCCUGUUCUAUAAUCGAUUCUCCCCGAUAAACCUCACCGCUUCUAGCCUACUCAGCCUGUAUACCUCCGUCGUAAGCUUACCAUAUGAACGCUAACUAGUGAGCUUAAAGAUCUAUUCAUCAACACGUCAGGUCAAGGUGCAGCUUACGAAGCGGGAAGCAAUGGGCUACAAUUUCUAACUUAGAACACACGAAAGACUACAUGAAACACAGUCAUGAAGGCGGAUUUAGCAGUAAAAAGAAAUAGAGAGUUCUUUUUAAUUAGGCGCUGGGACGCGU